RNAcentral lists this transfer RNA (71 nucleotides) under Loxodonta africana (African savanna elephant). It matches the Rfam family "tRNA". From Rfam's summary of the family: Transfer RNA (tRNA) molecules are approximately 80 nucleotides in length. Their secondary structure includes four short double-helical elements and three loops (D, anti-codon, and T loops). Lineage: Eukaryota; Metazoa; Chordata; Mammalia; Proboscidea; Elephantidae. The record is from Rfam by way of RNAcentral.
GCAGUGGUAGUUCAGUGGUAGAAUUCUCAGUUUCCAUGGGGGAGACCCAGGUUUGAUUCCUGGCUAACGUA